GGCUAUACGUGCCAGCAGCCGCGGUAAUAUAGGUGCAGCGUAUCGGAAUUACUGGGCGUAAAGCGUGCAGCGGUGUAAGAAAUGUGAAAUCCCCGGGCUACCUGGAACUGCAUUGUGACUGCAGACUAAGUGUGUCAGGAGGUGGAAUUCCGCGUGUAGCAGUGAAAUGCGUAAUGCGGAAGAACACCGAGCGAAGGCAGCCUCCUGGGAUAACACUGACGCUCAGGCACGAAAGCGGGGACAACGGAUAGAUACCCUGGUAGUCCAGNCCUAACGAGUAUAGUGUGGGGAUCUUCCUUAUAACGUAGCUAACGCNA
Molecule: ribosomal RNA, 317 nt
Filed under: uncultured archaeon
Lineage: Archaea
Description: bacterial SSU rRNA
Rfam family: Bacterial small subunit ribosomal RNA
Source: RNAcentral